Long non-coding RNA from Esox lucius (northern pike), 889 nucleotides. RefSeq lists it as uncharacterized. The record is from RefSeq and is a predicted model, not a curated record. The transcript has 2 exons. Lineage: Eukaryota; Metazoa; Chordata; Actinopteri; Esociformes; Esocidae.
GGGAAGGACACCCUGCUGGAGUGCGAACCUGAUGUAGGAGAUCUACGUGUAACUAUGUAGGCAAACCAGCUGUGACCACUCCUCUUUAUCCAGUCUGAAAAAGUUCUCCAGAAAGUGAAAAACAAGUUGCGGAGGAUGGCUUGAACAUGAAGUGAUGCCAACACUGAGGUUCUCAGUUUCCUCCUGAGGGCAGCCCGUUCCAGUGCCACUGGUGAUGAUGGAAAGACACAUCAGGAAUGAGCUGACAGCAUCAGGUGUCACCAACUGUCCAUUUUCCUUUGAGAAGGGAUCAUUGAGAAGAAUCUGCCUUAUAAAAAUGUCUAAAGCAUGCUGAAAAUCCCCUCCAAAAUGCUUCAACAUAACAUGUUUUACAUCAGAACCUAAUUCAGAAUGAAGCUUCUGCAGAAUUAAAUUCUCUCUGUACCAUGAAUCCAUGUGAGAUUAAUGCUGUUUAACAGCAACAACAAACAUGCAAAACAGGAUUCAUGGGACACUGGAUUUGUUUUCAGCAUGUAUUGAAAUUGCAUUGAAAGUGUAUUGAAUAUAACGCGACAGACAAUCACAAGCCAUUUUACUACUGCACAUAAUGUAUGUUUAGGAAGACUUUUGACCUCAGUUUGUUUGCAAAUGCUAGAGCACGACGAGUCAAGGAAAUCCUUGACAACACUGCUGCCCCACAUCCUGGGUGAUACACAAAAUGUACAUGAGGUUUCAGGAGGGUUGUCUCGAGUAGACCUUCUCUCUGAUCGGCUUUGUACGUCAUAUGGUUUAAAAAGAUUCAAAAAGAAUUUGAUACAUUAUCUUACGGCUUUGUUUUUGGAAUUGUUAUCAGAAGGCUGUCAGAUCUCUCGAUUGCAAUGAUAACAAUAAAUUACAAAUAUCAAUUGUG